RNAcentral lists this ribosomal RNA (492 nucleotides) under Triticum aestivum (bread wheat). Its description in RNAcentral is "partial small subunit ribosomal RNA". Lineage: Eukaryota; Viridiplantae; Streptophyta; Magnoliopsida; Poales; Poaceae. The record is from RNAcentral.
AUGGCAUCUCACAUCACCAUGGGACACAUUGGGGAAGUUUAUCACAAGGAGCUUAAGGAUACUACCUACCAGAUUUGUGGGCGCCGAGAUGAGCAAUGGGAGAUGAUCAGCACGAGGAAAGAAAGAUCAGUUGCAGCUUUCAUCCUGGAGUUAAACCAGCACAUUCGACGCCAGGAGAACCAGAUGUGUGCAGGCAUGAUGGAUCUGAAGAAGGCCAUGACCAAGAUCACGGAAUUGGAGGAAGAACUCAAGUCUACAUGCGAUGGAUAUGAGGAGGAAAUGUCGACUCUAGUCGAAAAGAAUGAUGAUCUGAAGAAGAAGCUAAGAGUGUUUAUGGGAUUUCCAGCAACUGGAGAAGACGAAGAUUGUACUUGUCCCGAGAACUACAUCAUCAUCGAUGAUACCGACUCGGACCCGGAUGAUAGUGAUGACGACUAUGUUGAUGAAGCUGGAGCAGAUAUCAUGGAGUCUUCAUCGGAGCAGUUUUUCUAG